Sorghum bicolor (sorghum) is the source of this 672-nucleotide long non-coding RNA. RefSeq lists it as uncharacterized. NCBI's taxonomy places the organism in Eukaryota, Viridiplantae, Streptophyta, Magnoliopsida, Poales, Poaceae. The record is from RefSeq and is a predicted model, not a curated record. The transcript is spliced from 2 exons.
AGCUUCACCUAAGAUGCUUCCGCUACUCCGCACACCUUUUGGAAAUUUAGUUGUUUAUAUUCCAUCAUAUGUUGUAAAUUGAGUUAUAAAUCUUCCGCACUCCGAUGUAAGUUAUUUUUGUAACAAAUGAUGUAAUGUUGUGGUAACUCCAUGUUGAUCCUGUAUGAGUUAAAAUGUGGAUGAUUCGGGGUCCUCUAAGGGCACCCGACAGACUACCUGGGUUAUAUGACUCUCAUGUGCAGUAAUCAGAGGUCUUAAUGACAAUGAUAGGUGCAUGUGGGCCAUAUAAUUUAGGUGGUUCUGCCACAAUCAGUCUACUGUGGAUUCUACUUCUGCAAGUUCAUGAGAGAGGGCGGAAGAUAUGUCACUAACCCUUAUAAGCAAAAGGACUUUGAAAAGGCAAAGAGCGUGAGUGAAGCCACUUUAUACAACAUAGUUGAAGGACAUCUGCUCAUUCAUCUUGAGAGAAGUUAUUCCCAGCGAAGGAAAAUAUCACGAUCGGACUAGUACCCUAGCAAAGCCUGAACAUGGAGCGCUAAGGGAGAUUAGUAGGCUAAAACUAACUCGAUCCGGUUAUUAGAGCAGAGGUUUCAGAGGUGAAACCUCUGAUGUAUGUAAACUGGAAAAAACUUGUUGUGUGAUGUUUGUAAUUAAUGUAACUUUAUGUAUAAA